Molecule: ribosomal RNA, 423 nt
Filed under: uncultured bacterium
Lineage: Bacteria
Description: partial 16S ribosomal RNA
Rfam family: Bacterial small subunit ribosomal RNA
Source: RNAcentral
AUUUUGGACAAUGGGCGCAAGCCUGAUCCAGCCAUGCCGCGUGAGUGAAUAAGGCCUCCGGGUUGUAAAGCUCUCUCGGACGGAAAGAAAUCGCGCAGGCUAAUACCCUGCGCGGAUGACGGUACCGCCUAAAGACCCCCCGCCUAACUCCGUGCCACCACCCGCGGUAAUACGUAGGGCGCGAGCGUUAAUCGGAAUUACUGGGCGCAAAGCGUGCGCAGGCGGUUGAUUAAGACAGGCGUGAAAUCCCCGGGCUUAACCUGGGAACUGCGCUUGUGACUGGUCAGCUAGAGUACGGCAGAGGGGGGUGGAAUUCCACGUGUAGCAGUGAAAUGCGUAGAGAUGUGGAGGAACACCGAUGGCGAAGGCAGCCCCCUGGGCCGAUACUGACGCUCAUGCACGAAAGCGUGGGUAGCAAACAGG